GUAGGUGGCAAGCGUUGUCCGGAUUUACUGGGGCGUAAAGCGCGCGCAGGUGGCCUGCAUAGUCUGGGGGGGUGAAAUCUCUCGGGCUCAACCGAGAGAGGUCUCUGGAUACUGGCAGGCUUGAGAGGAGCAGAGGAGAGUGGAAUUCCCGGUGUAGCGGUGAUAUGCGUAGAUAUCGGGAGGAACACCAGUGGCGAAGGCGGCUCUCUGGGCUCUCUCUGACGCUGAGGCGCGAAAGCGUGGGGAGCGAACCGGAUUAGAUACCCCGGGUAGUCCACGCCGUAAACGUUGGGCACUAGGUGUGGGGGGUAUUGACCCCCCUCUGUGCCGUAGCUAACGCGUUAAGUGCCCCGCCUGGGGAGUACGGCCGCAAGGCUA
This 378-nucleotide ribosomal RNA is filed under the name uncultured organism. RNAcentral's name for it is "partial 16S ribosomal RNA". It matches the Rfam family "Bacterial small subunit ribosomal RNA", at positions 527 to 896 of the family's 1533-position model. The record is from RNAcentral.